AAACUGGUGCCAUCCCCAACUGAAAUGCUUCAAAAUGCAAGCAAAAAUACUGCCCAAAGCAACUGAAAACCUGGUAGCAAGUAAAAAUAAACACAGAACAUGAACAUGAACUGGUAUGCUUUAUAACACAUAAUAAAAUAAACAGCUUUCAUAGGUAGUCCACUGACAGUCAGUGUGGAGUGUAGGGCAAGUGUUCUUAGAUAAAGGGAAUUGAGCAUGUCCAUGACUGCUCAUCUCACCUCACAUAUACAGCGGUGUUUAUCAAAAUUAUAUUGUUGCACCUUAAGCAUAGCAUGGCAGAGAAAAA
This is a long non-coding RNA of Ipomoea nil (Japanese morning glory), 307 nucleotides long. RefSeq lists it as uncharacterized. The record is from RefSeq and is a predicted model, not a curated record. The transcript has 2 exons. Lineage: Eukaryota; Viridiplantae; Streptophyta; Magnoliopsida; Solanales; Convolvulaceae.